CCGACCGGCGCACGGGUGAGUAACACGUAUGCAAUCCACCUGUAACAGGGGGAGUAACCCGGAGAAAUCCGGACUAAUACCCCAUAAUAUGGGCUCUCCGCAUGAAGGGUCCAUUAAGGAGAGCAAUUUUGGUUACAGACGAGCAUGCGCUCCAUUAGCCAGUUGGCGGGGUAACGGCCCACCAAAGCGACGAUGGAUAGGGGUUCUGAGAGGAAGGUCCCCCACAUUGGAACUGAGACACGGUCCAA
RNAcentral lists this ribosomal RNA (248 nucleotides) under uncultured bacterium. RNAcentral's name for it is "partial 16S ribosomal RNA". It matches the Rfam family "Bacterial small subunit ribosomal RNA", at positions 91 to 334 of the family's 1533-position model. The record is from RNAcentral.